UACGUAGGGUGCGAGCGUUGUCCGGAUUUAUUGGGCGUAAAGCGAGCGCAGGUGGUUUAAUAAGUCUGAUGUAAAAGGCAGUGGCUCAACCAUUGUGUGCAUUGGAAACUGUUAGACUUGAGUGCAGUAGAGGAGAGUGGAAUUCCAUGUGUAGCGGUGAAAUGCGUAGAUAUAUGGAGGAACACCGGUGGCGAAAGCGGCUCUCUGGUCUGUAACUGACGCUGAGGCUCGAAAGCGUGGGGAGCAAACAGG
This 252-nucleotide ribosomal RNA is filed under the name uncultured microorganism. Its description in RNAcentral is "partial 16S ribosomal RNA". It matches the Rfam family "Bacterial small subunit ribosomal RNA", at positions 524 to 776 of the family's 1533-position model. The record is from RNAcentral.